Molecule: unclassified non-coding RNA, 379 nt
Filed under: uncultured Rhodanobacteraceae bacterium
Lineage: Bacteria; Pseudomonadati; Pseudomonadota; Gammaproteobacteria; Lysobacterales; Rhodanobacteraceae
Description: contains 16S-23S intergenic spacer region
Source: RNAcentral
UCUCCGUUAUCCGGAGCAGUCCACGUAGAGUUCCCACCAUUACGUGCUGGCAACUAAGGACAAGGGUUGCGCUCGUUGCGGGACUUAACCCAACAUCUCACGACACGAGCUGACGACAGCCAUGCAGCACCUGUGUUCCGAUUCCCGAAGGCACUCCUGCAUCUCUGCUGGAUUCCGGACAUGUCAAGGCCAGGUAAGGUUCUUCGCGUUGCAUCGAAUUAAACCACAUACUCCACCGCUUGUGCGGGCCCCCGUCAAUUCCUUUGAGUUUCAGUCUUGCGACCGUACUCCCCAGGCGGCGAACUUAACGCGUUAGCUUCGACACUGAGCACCUAAGUGUGCCCAACAUCCAGUUCGCAUCGUUUAGGGCGUGGACUAC